GAUGAACGCUGGCGGCGUGCCUAAUACAUGCAAGUAGAACGCUGAAGGAAGGAGCUUGCUCUUUCCGGAUGAGUUGCGAACGGGUGAGUAACGCGUAGGUAACCUGCCUGGUAGCGGGGGAUAACUAUUGGAAACGAUAGCUAAUACCGCAUAACAGUAGAUGUUGCAUGAUAUCUACUUAAAAGGUGCAAUUGCACCACUACCAGAUGGACCUGCGUUGUAUUAGCUAGUUGGUGAGGUAACGGCUCACCAAGGCGACGAUACAUAGCCGACCUGAGAGGGUGAUCGGCCAAACUGGGACUGAGACACGGCCCAGACUCCUACGGGAGGCAGCAGUAGGGAAUCUUCGGCAAUGGACGGAAGUCUGACCGAGCAACGCCGCGUGAGUGAAGAAGGUUUUCGGAUCGUAAAGCUCUGUUGUAAGGGAAGAACGAGCGUGAGAGUGGAAAGUUCACACUGUGACGGUAUCUGACCAGAAAGGGACGGCUAACUACGUG
RNAcentral lists this ribosomal RNA (497 nucleotides) under uncultured bacterium. RNAcentral's name for it is "partial 16S ribosomal RNA". It matches the Rfam family "Bacterial small subunit ribosomal RNA", at positions 28 to 507 of the family's 1533-position model. The record is from RNAcentral.